Molecule: long non-coding RNA, 3599 nt
Organism: Lolium perenne
Lineage: Eukaryota; Viridiplantae; Streptophyta; Magnoliopsida; Poales; Poaceae
Source: RefSeq, a predicted model, not a curated record
AGCUUAGCAAGGAGAUCUUGACAUUUAGUAUCGUCCUUGUAACUAUCUGUGACUUCAGUGAUCCAAGUUGGAAUGGCUGAACUGGAAAAUAAGGUGGCUAGAUGGUAUUUCACUCGUGACAAGGCAUCAACCACUUUGUUUUCCCUUCCUUUCUUAUAUUCAAUUGUGUAUUUAUACCCCAAGAGCUUGAUAAGCAACUUAUGUUGUAUGCCUUCUGUUAGUUUCUGCUCUUGUAUAUGCUUCAAGCUUUGCUGAUCUGUCCUGAUGACUAAAGAGCUAGCCGCAAAGUAAUGUUUCCAUUUUUUAAGUGCUUCUAUAAUAGCCAUAGCUUACUUGUCAUAAGUGGAUAGUGCUGCUGCCUUGGGUCCAAUUGUUUUACUCAUGAACGAAAUUGGUCUCCCAUCUUGCAUUAAAACUGCACCAAUCCCAUAUCCACUUGCAUCAGCUUCUAAGACAAACGGCUUGGAGAAAUUUGGCAUAGACAAUACAGGUGCUGCUGUCAUUGUUUGCUUAAGUGUAUUGAAAGCUUCAUCCUGUGCUUGUGACCACUGAAACCCAUCCUUCUUUAAAGAACUGAACAGAGGGCUACAUAUGAUGCCAUAAUUCUUUAUAAACCGGCGAUAAUAGCCUGUCAGCCCUAAGAAGCUUCUUAGCUCAGUGACAUUCUGCGGCACCGGCCACUUGACAAUUGCCUCAAUCUUUGAUGGAUCAGUGGCAACCCCAUCUCCUCGAAUAACGUGCCCAAGGUGCAUUAGUGAGACCGAAUGGCAUCGCAACAUAUUCAUAAUGACCUUGGUGGGUGCUAAAAGUUGUCUUGGCAAUAUCAUCAGGGUUCAUUCUGAUUUGGUGAUAUCCACUCCGUAAAUCAACUUUGGAGAAUAUUUGAGCUCCAUUCAACUCAUCCAAUAGGUCCUCAAUUACAGGUAUUGGAAACUUGUUUUUGAUAGUUUGUGCAUUCAACUCCCUGAAGUCAAUGCAUAAUCGCCAGUCGAAGUCUUUUUUUCUUUACAAUAAGAGCAGGUGAAGAGUAAGGACUGGUGCUAUAUCUGAUGAAGUUGUGUAAGAGUAGUUCUUGAACCAACUUUUCCAUAACAUUCUUUUGGUGGUGUGGGAUUCUGUAAGGCCUUUUGUUGACAACUUUGGCACCUUUCUCAAGGGAAAAUGAUGUGGUCACAUUUUCUUGGUGGUGGAAGUGUUGUGGGCUCUUCAAAGAUGGUAUGAAACUCAUCCAAAAGUUUUUGAAUAGCAGCUGGUAUUGGAGAGUGUGUGAUGGUGUCUUGCUUGGUCGGCAUAAUGUACAGUAGGGCUCCACAAAUAGAGUUCUUAAGCAUUCUGUGCAUAUUGACUGUAUGCAGCAUCUCUGUUGUCGCUGGCAAACUAGCAUCAAAGAAUUUAACCACUUCCCCGUUGUUAUUGACCUGCAGGGUCAAUGCUUUCAAGUUGAGUUCCACUGGACUAUGCUCAUAAAUCCAAUCAGCACCAAGUAUUAUGUCAUAUCCUUUGAGUUUUAAGAGCCUGAAGUCUGACUCAAAAGGAACUCCUUGGAUUUCAUAUUUUGUCCCUCUGCACAAGAAUUCUGUCCACAGUGUUUCACCAUUUGCCACUUGGACACGUUCCUUCUUGGUGGGAGUGAGAUUACACUGUGCUUUCAUGGCAAGUUCAGGGGUCAUGAACGUUGUUGUACUUCCUGAAUCGACUAAGGCAAUUGCUUUUUCUGUGCCAACUGUGAGAUACAAGGUAAAGGUGUAUUUCCUUGCUUUUGUGCCUUUCAAUGCGUGCAUAGAAACACUCAUUGGUUCAGCUGUAUCAUCUGGAUCAUCAGAGUCAUCGUCAUCAUAUUCAUGGAUGUAGAUGAUCUCUUCUUUUUCCGUUGCCUGAACCUGUAAGGCAUUGACUUGUGCUUGCUGAGACAUUUUACAUACCCGUUUAUGUCCAGGAAACCAAGGUUCACGACAUUUAUAGCAAACUUUCUUUUCUCUUGCUUCCUGAAUAAUUGCUGCAGUUGUUGAGUUUGUGGCAGGUGCUUUAGGCUGAUCAAAGGUAACUUGCCUUCUUGCACUGGGAUAGUAUUGUUUGCUUGUGGGUACUGGUGAAGGUGCUGCUCGCUCCAUCCUUCUAGCAUACCAGAUAGCUUCCUGCAUGUCCGUGGGUUUGUGGCAUUGCAGAUGGUUUUGGAUGUAAGGUGUCAACCCAGAUAUAAAGCUGUUGACGUAAUAGUCAUUUGGCAAUGUAGGAUUGUCUCUCCGCAUCAGGUUCAUGGCUCUUUCAAACUUGAGAAUGUAAUUGUCAACAGUGCUGGUUUGAGUCAGAGAAUGAAAUGCCCUGACAUUGUCACAGAUGGAAGUGGUGGCAAACCUGUCUGAUAGGUAUCUGCAGAAUCGAUGCCAGGGAACAUUUGUUGAAGAAUAACCAGUCCCUCUCCACCACUGUAUUGCAGGACCUUUCAGGUAAGUGAUUGCUAUUUCAGUCCUUUGAUCGAGUUGUGUUCUUGCCGAAUCAAAGUACUGCUCAAUUAUUUGAAUCCAUGAAUCAGCAUCAUCACCAUCAAACUCAGGAAUGUUCAGCUUUGCUGGCUUGCACACCGGAUUCAUCCUUCUGAGUUCAGUCUGACCAUAUGUACGGAAUCGUGGUUGUACUCUUUUUCCUUCACUGUCAGAGUCAUCAUCGCCAAUGUUUACUUGAUUCUCUGCAUUUAUUGUUCUGUUGCCUUGCACAACUUUUCCGGUGGCAUUUGGGUGUUUGUAUGGCUGCUUCAGUGCGCCAUCAAGUUGCAAUUCUCUACCAUAGAUGUCCUGCAGCCUAGAUGUGCCAAUUGGCUUAACAGGUUGAACUGGUUGGUUUACACUGCCAUGUUCUGGAGUAGUUACAAUCUCUCCUUGAGCAUCAACAUGAUGAGCAAGAGGUGGUGGUUGAUCACUUUUACCCUUAGUGGCAGCGAACAAUAUUUCAAAAUUCUUUUGCAUCAGAUCAAAGUUUGCUUGAAUGUCAACAAAGUUUUUGUUUGUUGCACUUGCAAAAUCACUGAACUCCUUCUUGUCAUUUUCUCUGUUUUGCUGAAUGGCAGUUAUUUCAAGUUGCAAGCUUUUCAUCUCUAAUUGCUCAGUUGUCUCAGAUCCCGAAGCUUUGGGCAACGACAUGGUGUGGGGAAUAGUGUUGGAUACCUGAGAAACUGAAGGUUGAUGAUUUGUUGCGGAAGAUGUUGGGGAAGCCGCAGAUCAAACACCUUGUAUGCGCUCCACCGCCGCCUUCACCCCCGCCAGCGCCGCCCGCCUCCAGAAGUCCGACGAACCAGGGUGGGUGGGUGGGAUUCUUCCUUGAAGCGUUGUGCUCCAAGAACCGCCGCCGGCACCUGAUUUGUGACCGAGCUGUGCCACCGCCGCCAAGCCGCCGCCUUCUGCUCCUUUGAGGAAGAGCACAACUGCCGCCGGGAAAAAGAGCAAGCCGAGAAGGAUUCCACGGGAGCUAGAGCCCAACUUCUCUUCGCUCUAAAUCCAAUCGCCGCCGAGGAUCACUGGCAUCUGAUACCACUUGUAAGGCCUAAACUACUCAGAGAUGAUCAACAUGCAUGAAUCACGUCAUGAACACAUGAAUAUUGGGAA